Molecule: long non-coding RNA, 2865 nt
Organism: Chelonia mydas (Green sea turtle)
Lineage: Eukaryota; Metazoa; Chordata; Testudines; Cheloniidae
Exons: 4
Source: RefSeq, a predicted model, not a curated record
GGUACCGGAGGGUGAAAGAAGGCCUCCUAACCAUAGAACAUGCGGGUUCCGGACAGAGCGGCGUGGCACCCUCCUAACCAUAGAGAGUGCGGGCUCCGGACAGAGCGGCUAUGAGCCGGCGGUGGAGGUGUCCUGGCUACAGAAAGGGACCCCGAGCAGUGGUGGGAGUUCUCUUAACCACAGGGUGUGCUGACGCCUGUCUAGGGGAAAGCGGGUCUCUCCUCUCCGCCCAGGAUUCUUUGAUCAAAUUCAGACCUGAUAUGACUGGGCACAACUUAGCUGAAUUUAAUAAUCUGUGAAUCAUAUAUCAAAGGGAGAGGUGGCAUGGAGAAGACCAUUAUAGUAUCAAAGGACCUCAGCAUUUCUUUGGCCUGCACUCUCUAUUCUGGGUUCUCAUUGUUUCAGAUCAUAAACAGUCCUGGCUCCCAUUCCCAGCUCUGCAAAUUCACCUCACUGCUGACCUCCUUCAUAUUCCAGUCCUCUUCUCCCUGAGCUGUCACAGCUCCCUGCAAUGCUCGCAUGUGAUAGCUGAGCCCUAGCAGCCACCCUUCCAUAGCCCAACAGCAUUCGACCUGCUUCUUCCAAAGACCAACUUUGUCAUCAAAGAGAACUGCACAGAGAGACUGACACAGAGUCACAGAUCCCUGCUUAGUAGGAGAUGGUGCUACUGGAAGCUCCUUGGGCCAGGGACCGUCUUUUUGUUGUGUGUUUGUACAGCACAACAGGGUCCCAGUCUAUGAUUGGGGCUCCAACAUGCUAGGGUGAUGCACAUAAACAAUAAUAUUACAUAAGUAAUGAAUGCACAUUGAAAAUGCAGCUGUGGGUAUGACAAGUUUAUUACAUAGUACCAGUGUGUAGAUGUUAUGGUUGAUCAGAAGAUGGGCUAUCUAGCACUUAUUUUAUUCAUUUACAAUAAUAAUAAUAAUGAAAAUCCAGACCUAUCAUUUUCCAUUUCACCUGCCCUUCCCUUCCCACCCCUUGUUUGUCAUUUGCCUUCUUAGACUGUAACAUUUUCAGGGCAGGGAUCAUGUCUUCCCACAUCUUUGUACAGCUCCUGGCACAGAUCCUGGUGGGGUUGCUACCAAAUAGCACAAAUAUUAAAAACAAUAAUAUAAGUACUAUUGAAUAGUUAAUACCAGGGAACAGUGACUAGCUAGGACUUCUGCAGGGAUCUGGCAUUCUAGGUAGAGAAUUUGAGAAUUCUGGUCCUCUUCAAGGCACUGAAUUCAUAUCUGUGGUGUUCAGUGAGCACUCAGUGCUUACAGUGCUUGCAAGAGCUCUGCUUUAUGUUUUGCCUUGUUCCAACUGGCUGUGCACAACAACAAGAGCAUCACAGCGCCCUGACCAGAGUCUCAGCUCUUAAAGGCCUGGACCCCAAUAGCACAUGUCUAUGUGUGCGUCUCUACAAGCGCGUAUGUGUCUCUCUCUGCUUGGUUUUAAAUAACUCUUUUGUUCCUGUAGCAGAUGAUUCAUCAGCCUCAGGACAUCCUGGGAUGCCUGGCUAGAAGGAGCCACAUGUGGGGCAUGUAUCUCAAGAGUCUCGUGUUGAUUAUCACAGAGAGAUGUAUGGUGGCCUCUAGGGGUGCAUCUACACGGCAAUCAAAGGCCUGCAGCUGGCCCAGCUCAGCUGACUUGGGCUCAUGGGGCUAUAAAAUCACAGUGUAGAUGUUUGGUUUUGGGGUGGAACCUGGGUUCCGAGAUCCUACGAUGAGGGAGGGCUGCAGCCCGAGCCCAGACGUUUACAGAGCUAUUUUUAGCUCUGCAGCCCAAGCCCCGUGGGCCCAAGUCACCUGAGUUGGGCCAGUUUUAUCGCAGUGUAGAUGUACCUAGGGCUGAUUAAAGCACAAGAGCCUGCAGUGGAUUCCCCAGCAAAGCUCAGGACCUGGGAACUUACUGUCUCCCCCCUCCCCCAUAAAUUACUCUAAUUUAGAGGCAACUAUAUGGGUCACAAGUUGUUUAAAAAAAAGCAGCAGCCCUCAUAAUGCUUCUGUUUCCUUCCCUGGGCUGAGGAGCAAUGAUGGGAUGUUACAUCCGGCUUCUAGGACACAGAAUUAGCCUCCUGCCUGGGAAAGACACUGACAGCUCUGCCUGCAGAUCCAUCACUCCUGAGUUCUGAGGUCAGCAGCACAUCACUGUGUUGCUAGGAAAGCCGUUCCAUAUCCUACAGAUGCAUCCUCUCCUCAGCUUGCGCCCUCUCCAACAACUUGCCAUGUGAAAGACAAUUACCUUUUUAUUUUACCUUUCCUAUUCAUUUGCACCCUUGAUGGUCAUGUGACCAAUUCUGCUGGCACAUGGAGGCUUCAGUUGUAUUCUCCAGUGUAAGGAACAUCAUGAUGCUCCACUCCAGGCAGUCUGGUUAGGAAAGGGACAGAGGGAGCUCUUCUGUCUGUGCCAUCAGUCCAUGCUUGGUCAAAGUAUACUUCCAGGGUGGAAGCACUGGGUAGUGGUCACAGCAAGACUCCUAGGUUCUAUUCCUGGCUGUACCCUGGACUAAACUUCCUCUCUCUUGGGCCCCUGUCUCCUCCACUAAAAAUGGGGAUUUUAGAGCUAGUCAGAAAACGGGAUUGCCAUUCAACAUAAAAUGGAAUGAAAACCCAAAAUUUCAAAAUUUUCCACAGAACAAAAAUUCUGGAAAGUUUCAGUUCAGGACGAUCAAAACGUUUCUGUUUAAUAAUGUCAAAUAAUUUUGUUUCAAUAAGGUAAAACCAUUUUGCUUUGAUAACCUCAAAACAUAAUAUAAAAUAAAACAUUAAAUGCCAUAUAUAUUGUAUAAAUAUAAUAUGUUCUUUUCAUAUUAAUAUAAUGUAAAAAUCUAACUGGAUUAAUCAAAACGAUAAAGACAAAAUGAAACGUUUGCUAUUGAAA